CACAGCUUCACCAGAAGAUAGCCCUGCCUACCAACACACUGCAGCAGUCACAUCCAAGCAUCACAUGUGGACUGGGUGCCAGCCCUUCCCAUCAGCUCACCACAACAGUAGUCACUGUGCCUCAUAGUGGUACCAGGCACCAGCCCUGCCCACCAACAUUCUACAGCAGUUGUGAUCGUUCCGUUCCCUGCAGCCAGGUUGGGCACCAACACCACCCACGAAGGUGUCACAAUAGUUGCGGCCAUGUGUCACAGCCAGGUCAGGCAAGAGCUCCACCCAAUCCCUGCACAGCAUCCAUGCUCCUGCCACAUAAGGAGGGCUCAUGCAGCUCACAUAGAGGACAUCCCUUGAGUGCCUGACUCAGGAGGCCAGGGGGAUUGCACUUCUGGGCCCCACAGGAUAUCUCCUACUUAAGCCCACUCCCUCAAGACUGAAAGAGGUGCUCCCUGUCAUCCUUUCUCAUUCAGUCUGCAGGGUCCUUCAGCAAGUGCCCAUCACAGUGAACAAAUUCUUUGAGGGGAAAAAUGAAGUGCAAAGAGAUGAAAGACCUUGUCCAAGAUGCCUGUAAGUGGUGGAGACAGGAUAAGGCUCCAGAUAGGCUGGCUUCAGGGUCUGCAUACUAACCAUUGAUGUCAACUCCUCAGCAUUUCUGGUCUGCACUGCAUGAGCCUGAAAGCCCUCAGGAUCAGGGAAAAGCUGAACAUAACCUCAGGAAAACCACAGAUAUCUAGUGGAAGACCGUCUAUGUCAGAUGGAAACAGAUCCACGGAGAGGAAGAACAAAGCUACGCCCUGACCAACAAUUAAAAUAACUAUAUCCAGUCAGUAAAGAGACUCGCUAUUUUCUUUUUUCACUGGAAGCAUUAGAAUCUAGAAGAGUUGGGGAAAGGAGAGAGCUUCAGAUAGGUUUUAAAUUUGACAUAUUAAACAGGAUUGUAUUAUGUUCUCAUAAUUGAAACUUAUUAGAAGAGUUAUGAAAUUGAGCCAAAAUUUCACUGGUAUAGGAAAAGAUGAUUUAGAGAAUCAUAGUUAACAGCAGUCAUUUAAAAUAAAUGGAAAGGGUUUUUAUGUUUCCUCACACUCUAGAAUGUCAGCUCAAUGAGAACAGUGAUUCUACUUUGUUAGUUCUGUUUUAUACAUUUCUAGAACAGUGCCUGUGCCUAGUAAAUCUUUAUUAAUGUUUGUUGAAUGAAUGGG
This 1196-nucleotide long non-coding RNA is filed under the name Equus caballus (horse). Its description in RNAcentral is "lncRNA (ENSECAG00000049380.1)". The record is from RNAcentral. Lineage: Eukaryota; Metazoa; Chordata; Mammalia; Perissodactyla; Equidae.